This 254-nucleotide ribosomal RNA is filed under the name uncultured bacterium. RNAcentral's name for it is "partial 16S ribosomal RNA". It matches the Rfam family "Bacterial small subunit ribosomal RNA", at positions 524 to 776 of the family's 1533-position model. The record is from RNAcentral.
GGCAGAGGAGCCAAGCGUUGUCCGGAUUGACUGGGCGUAAAGCGCACGCAGGCGGUCGCGCGCGUGGGGUGUGAAAUCUGGCCGCUUAACGGCCAGGCGCCAUCCCAUACGGCGCGACUGGAGUGAUGCAGAGGUCGAUGGAAUUGCCGGUGUAGUGGUGAAAUGCGUAGAGAUCGGCAGGAACACCCAGGGGGGAAACCAGUCGACUGGGCAUCUACUGACGCUGAGGUGCGAGAGCGUGGGGAGCGAACCGG